This 519-nucleotide ribosomal RNA is filed under the name uncultured bacterium. Its description in RNAcentral is "bacterial SSU rRNA". It matches the Rfam family "Bacterial small subunit ribosomal RNA", at positions 791 to 1311 of the family's 1533-position model. The record is from RNAcentral.
UAGUCCACGCCGUAAACGAUGGUCACUAGUUGUUGGAGUCUUGUACUUCAGUGAUUAAGAGAAAUUGAUAAGUGACCCACCUGGGGAGUACGAUCGCAAGAUUGAAACUCAAAGGAAUUGACGGGGGCCCGCACAAGCGGUGGAGCAUGUGGUUUAAUACGAUGCAACGCGAAGAACCUUACCUGCCCUUGACAUACUCGGAACUUUCCAGAGAUGGAUUGGUGCCUUCGGGAGCCGAGAUACAGGUGCUGCAUGGCUGUCGUCAGCCCGUGUCGUGAGAUGUCGGGUUAAGUCCCUUAACGAGCGAAACCCUUAUCUCUAGUUGCCAGCGGGUAAUGCCGGGGACUCUAGAGAGACUGCCGGUGUCAAACCGGAGGAAGGUGGGGAUGACGUCAAGUCCUCAUGGCCUUUAUGUCUAGGGCUGCACACGUCCUACAAUGGUACGGACAAAUGGACGCUAAGCCGCGAGGUGGAGUAAAUCCAAAAACCGUGACCUCAGUUCGGAUUGCAGGCUGCAAC